UACGGGAGGCUCAAGUGGUGUCCGUGUAUAUUGGGCUUAAAGCGUCCGUAGCUGGUCUUGAAAGUCUCUUGUGAAAGCCCGCAGCUCAACUGUGGGAAGUGCUAGGGAAACUCCAAGACUCGGAGGCGGGAGAGGCAAGGGGUACUUCUAGGGUAGCGGUAGAAUGUGUUAAUCCUGGAAGGACCACCGGUAGCGAAGGCGCCUUGCUAGAACGCGCUCGACAGUGAGGGACGAAGGCUAGGGGAGCAAC
RNAcentral lists this ribosomal RNA (250 nucleotides) under uncultured archaeon. RNAcentral describes it as "partial 16S ribosomal RNA". It matches the Rfam family "Archaeal small subunit ribosomal RNA", at positions 474 to 723 of the family's 1478-position model. The record is from RNAcentral.